GCCCGGAUAGCUCAGACGGAUAGAGCAGCGGCCUUCUAAGCCGACGGCCAGGGGUUCGAAUCCUCUUCCGGGCG
This 74-nucleotide transfer RNA is filed under the name Deltaproteobacteria bacterium. Its description in RNAcentral is "tRNA-Arg". It matches the Rfam family "tRNA". Rfam says of the family: Transfer RNA (tRNA) molecules are approximately 80 nucleotides in length. Their secondary structure includes four short double-helical elements and three loops (D, anti-codon, and T loops). Further hydrogen bonds mediate the characteristic L-shaped molecular structure. tRNAs have two regions of fundamental functional importance: the anti-codon, which is responsible for specific mRNA codon recognition, and the 3' end, to which the tRNAs corresponding amino acid is attached (by aminoacyl-tRNA synthetases). tRNAs cope with the degeneracy of the genetic code in two manners: having more than one tRNA (with a specific anti-codon) for a particular amino acid; and 'wobble' base-pairing, i.e. permitting non-standard base-pairing at the 3rd anti-codon position. The record is from RNAcentral. Lineage: Bacteria; Pseudomonadati; Myxococcota; Myxococcia.